This is a non-coding RNA of Pelobates cultripes (western spadefoot toad), 92 nucleotides long. The record is from the annotation of a GenBank genome assembly. Lineage: Eukaryota; Metazoa; Chordata; Amphibia; Anura; Pelobatidae.
UUAUUGAAUGAAGAGCAGCAAUGUUUUGGCUCCUAAAAGAGCUCUGUUUGGAGCCAAAAUGUUGCUGCUCUUCAUCCAAUAAACCUGCGUGC